RNAcentral lists this ribosomal RNA (609 nucleotides) under uncultured bacterium. RNAcentral describes it as "bacterial SSU rRNA". It matches the Rfam family "Bacterial small subunit ribosomal RNA", at positions 59 to 676 of the family's 1533-position model. The record is from RNAcentral.
CAGUCGAACGGUGAUAUUUAUAUCAUAGUGGCGCACGGGUGCGUAACACGUAUGCAACCUACCUAUUAUUGGGGGAUAGCCUUUGGAAACGGAGAUUAAUACCGCAUAAUACGAUUAACUGGCAUCGGUUGAUUGUUAAAGCAUUUGCGAUAAUAGAUGGGCAUGCGUCCAAUUAGUUAGUUGGUGUGGUAAUGGCUCACCAAGACGAUGAUUGGUAGGGGAUCUGAGAGGAUAAUCCCCCACACUGGCACUGAGAUACGGGCCAGACUCCUACGGGAGGCAGCAGUAGGGAAUAUUGGGCAAUGGGCGAAAGCCUGACCCAUCCAUGCCGCGUGCAGGAAGACGGCGUUAUGCGUUGUAAACUGCUUUUUUAUAGGAAGAAGGAUCCCUUGCGAGGGAAGGUGACGGUACUAUAAGAAUAAGCACCGGCUAACUCCGUGCCAGCAGCCGCGGUAAUACGGAGGGUGCAAGCGUUGUCCGGAUUUAUUGGGUUUAAAGGGUGCGUAGGCGGUUUAUUAAGUCAGUGGUGAAAGACGGUCGCUCAACGAUUGCAGUGCCAUUGAUACUGGUAGACUUGAGUGAGAUUGAGGUAGCUGGAAUGGAUAGUGU